This 22-nucleotide microRNA is filed under the name Callorhinchus milii (elephant shark). RNAcentral describes it as "eshark_mir-378_1". The record is from RNAcentral. Lineage: Eukaryota; Metazoa; Chordata; Chondrichthyes; Chimaeriformes; Callorhinchidae.
UCUGGACUUGGUUGUGAGUGCA